RNAcentral lists this ribosomal RNA (1475 nucleotides) under uncultured Burkholderiaceae bacterium. RNAcentral's name for it is "bacterial SSU rRNA". It matches the Rfam family "Bacterial small subunit ribosomal RNA". Lineage: Bacteria; Pseudomonadati; Pseudomonadota; Betaproteobacteria; Burkholderiales; Burkholderiaceae. The record is from RNAcentral.
CCUGGCUCAGAUUGAACGCUGGCGGCAUGCCUUACACAUGCAAGUCGAACGGUAACGCGGGGCAACCUGGCGACGAGUGGCGAACGGGUGAGUAAUGCAUCGGAACGUGCCCAGUAGUGGGGGAUAGCCCGGCGAAAGCCGGAUUAAUACCGCAUACGACCUACGGGUGAAAGGGGGGGAUCGCAAGACCUCUCGCUAUUGGAGCGGCCGAUGUCAGAUUAGGUAGUUGGUGGGGUAAAGGCCCACCAAGCCGACGAUCUGUAGCUGGUCUGAGAGGACGACCAGCCACACUGGGACUGAGACACGGCCCAGACUCCUACGGGAGGCAGCAGUGGGGAAUUUUGGACAAUGGGCGCAAGCCUGAUCCAGCCAUGCCGCGUGCGGGAAGAAGGCCUUCGGGUUGUAAACCGCUUUUGUCAGGGAAGAAACGCUCUGGGUUAAUACCCCGGGGUAAUGACGGUACCUGAAGAAUAAGCACCGGCUAACUACGUGCCAGCAGCCGCGGUAAUACGUAGGGUGCAAGCGUUAAUCGGAAUUACUGGGCGUAAAGCGUGCGCAGGCGGUUGUGCAAGACAGAUGUGAAAUCCCCGGGCUCAACCUGGGAACUGCAUUUGUGACUGCAUAGCUAGAGUACGGUAGAGGGGGAUGGAAUUCCGCGUGUAGCAGUGAAAUGCGUAGAUAUGCGGAGGAACACCGAUGGCGAAGGCAAUCCCCUGGACCUGUACUGACGCUCAUGCACGAAAGCGUGGGGAGCAAACAGGAUUAGAUACCCUGGUAGUCCACGCCCUAAACGAUGUCAACUGGUUGUUGGGAGGGUUUCUUCUCAGUAACGAAGCUAACGCGCGAAGUUGACCGCCUGGGGAGUACAGCCGCAAGGUUGAAACUCAAAGGAAUUGACGGGGAAGCGGUGGAUGAUGUGGUUUAAUUCGAUGCAACGCGAAAAACCUUACCUACCCUUGACAUGUCUGAAAUCCUGGAGAGAUCCGGGAGUGCUCGAAAGAGAAUCAGAACACAGGUGCUGCAUGGCCGUCGUCAGCUCGUGUCGUGAGAUGUUGGGUUAAGUCCCGCAACGAGCGCAACCCUUGUCAUCAGUUGCUACGAAAGGGCACUCUGAUGAGACUGCCGGUGACAAACCGGAGGAAGGUGGGGAUGACGUCAGGUCCUCAUGGCCCUUAUGGGUAGGGCUACACACGUCAUACAAUGGCCGGUACAGAGGGCUGCCAACCCGCGAGGGGGAGCCAAUCCCAGAAAACCGGUCGUAGUCCGGAUCGCAGUCUGCAACUCGACUGCGUGAAGUCGGAAUCGCUAGUAAUCGCGGAUCAGCUUGCCGCGGUGAAUACGUUCCCGGGUCUUGUACACACCGCCCGUCACACCAUGGGAGCGGGUCUCGCCAGAAGUAGUUAGCCUAACCGCAAGGAGGGCGAUUACCACGGCGGGGUUCGUGACUGGGGUGAAGUCGAAACAAGGUAGCCGUA